GGGUUGUGAGGUUAAGCGACUAAGCGUACACGGUGGAUGCCCUGGCAGUCAGAGGCGAUGAAGGACGUGCUAAUCUGCGAUAAGCGUCGGUAAGGUGAUAUGAACCGUUAUAACCGGCGAUUUCCGAAUGGGGAAACCCAGUGUGAUUCGUCACACUAUCAUUAACUGAAUCCAUAGGUUAAUGAGGCGAACCGGGGGAACUGAAACAUCUAAGUACCCCGAGGAAAAGAAAUCAACCGAGAUUCCCCCAGUAGCGGCGAGCGAACGGGGAGCAGCCCAGAGCCUGAAUCAGUGUGUGUGUUAGUGGAAGCGUCUGGAAAGGCGCGCGAUACAGGGUGACAGCCCCGUACACAAAAAUGCACAUACUGUGAGCUCGAUGAGUAGGGCGGGACACGUGGUAUCCUGUCUGAAUAUGGGGGGACCAUCCUCCAAGGCUAAAUACUCCUGACUGACCGAUAGUGAACCAGUACCGUGAGGGAAAGGCGAAAAGAACCCCGGCGAGGGGAGUGAAAAAGAACCUGAAACCGUGUACGUACAAGCAGUGGGAGCCUCUUAAUGGGGUGACUGCGUACCUUUUGUAUAAUGGGUCAGCGACUUAUAUUCUGUAGCAAGGUUAACCGAAUAGGGGAGCCGAAGGGAAACCGAGUCUUAACUGGGCGUUAAGUUGCAGGGUAUAGACCCGAAACCCGGUGAUCUAGCCAUGGGCAGGUUGAAGGUUGGGUAACACUAACUGGAGGACCGAACCGACUAAUGUUGAAAAAUUAGCGGAUGACUUGUGGCUGGGGGUGAAAGGCCAAUCAAACCGGGAGAUAGCUGGUUCUCCCCGAAAGCUAUUUAGGUAGCGCCUCGUGAAUUCAUCUCCGGGGGUAGAGCACUGUUUCGGCAAGGGGGUCAUCCCGACUUACCAACCCGAUGCAAACUGCGAAUACCGGAGAAUGUUAUCACGGGAGACACACGGCGGGUGCUAACGUCCGUCGUGAAGAGGGAAACAACCCAGACCGCCAGCUAAGGUCCCAAAGUCAUGGUUAAGUGGGAAACGAUGUGGGAAGGCCCAGACAGCCAGGAUGUUGGCUUAGAAGCAGCCAUCAUUUAAAGAAAGCGUAAUAGCUCACUGGUCGAGUCGGCCUGCGCGGAAGAUGUAACGGGGCUAAACCAUGCACCGAAGCUGCGGCAGCGACACUAUGUGUUGUUGGGUAGGGGAGCGUUCUGUAAGCCUGUGAAGGUGUACUGUGAGGUAUGCUGGAGGUAUCAGAAGUGCGAAUGCUGACAUAAGUAACGAUAAAGCGGGUGAAAAGCCCGCUCGCCGGAAGACCAAGGGUUCCUGUCCAACGUUAAUCGGGGCAGGGUGAGUCGACCCCUAAGGCGAGGCCGAAAGGCGUAGUCGAUGGGAAACAGGUUAAUAUUCCUGUACUUGGUGUUACUGCGAAGGGGGGACGGAGAAGGCUAUGUUGGCCGGGCGACGGUUGUCCCGGUUUAAGCGUGUAGGCUGGUUUUCCAGGCAAAUCCGGAAAAUCAAGGCUGAGGCGUGAUGACGAGGCACUACGGUGCUGAAGCAACAAAUGCCCUGCUUCCAGGAAAAGCCUCUAAGCAUCAGGUAACAUCAAAUCGUACCCCAAACCGACACAGGUGGUCAGGUAGAGAAUACCAAGGCGCUUGAGAGAACUCGGGUGAAGGAACUAGGCAAAAUGGUGCCGUAACUUCGGGAGAAGGCACGCUGAUAUGUAGGUGAAGCGACUUGCUCGUGGAGCUGAAAUCAGUCGAAGAUACCAGCUGGCUGCAACUGUUUAUUAAAAACACAGCACUGUGCAAACACGAAAGUGGACGUAUACGGUGUGACGCCUGCCCGGUGCCGGAAGGUUAAUUGAUGGGGUUAGCGGUAACGCGAAGCUCUUGAUCGAAGCCCCGGUAAACGGCGGCCGUAACUAUAACGGUCCUAAGGUAGCGAAAUUCCUUGUCGGGUAAGUUCCGACCUGCACGAAUGGCGUAAUGAUGGCCAGGCUGUCUCCACCCGAGACUCAGUGAAAUUGAACUCGCUGUGAAGAUGCAGUGUACCCGCGGCAAGACGGAAAGACCCCGUGAACCUUUACUAUAGCUUGACACUGAACAUUGAGCCUUGAUGUGUAGGAUAGGUGGGAGGCUUUGAAGUGUGGACGCCAGUCUGCAUGGAGCCGGCCUUGAAAUACCACCCUUUAAUGUUUGAUGUUCUAACGUUGGCCCCUGAUCGGGGUUGCGGACAGUGUCUGGUGGGUAGUUUGACUGGGGCGGUCUCCUCCUAAAGAGUAACGGAGGAGCACGAAGGUUGGCUAAUCCUGGUCGGACAUCAGGAGGUUAGUGCAAUGGCAUAAGCCAGCUUGACUGCGAGCGUGACGGCGCGAGCAGGUGCGAAAGCAGGUCAUAGUGAUCCGGUGGUUCUGAAUGGAAGGGCCAUCGCUCAACGGAUAAAAGGUACUCCGGGGAUAACAGGCUGAUACCGCCCAAGAGUUCAUAUCGACGGCGGUGUUUGGCACCUCGAUGUCGGCUCAUCACAUCCUGGGGCUGAAGUAGGUCCCAAGGGUAUGGCUGUUCGCCAUUUAAAGUGGUACGCGAGCUGGGUUUAGAACGUCGUGAGACAGUUCGGUCCCUAUCUGCCGUGGGCGCUGGAGAACUGAGGGGGGCUGCUCCUAGUACGAGAGGACCGGAGUGGACGCAUCACUGGUGUUCGGGUUGUCAUGCCAAUGGCACUGCCCGGUAGCUAAAUGCGGAAGAGAUAAGUGCUGAAAGCAUCUAAGCACGAAACUUGCCCCGAGAUGAGUUCUCCCUGACUCCUUGAGAGUCCUGAAGGAACGUUGAAGACGACGACGUUGAUAGGCCGGGUGUGUAAGCGCAGCGAUGCGUUGAGCUAACCGGUACUAAUGAACCGUGAGGCUUAACCUUACAACGCCGAAG
Molecule: ribosomal RNA, 2925 nt
Filed under: Escherichia coli
Lineage: Bacteria; Pseudomonadati; Pseudomonadota; Gammaproteobacteria; Enterobacterales; Enterobacteriaceae
Description: bacterial LSU rRNA
Rfam family: Bacterial large subunit ribosomal RNA
Source: RNAcentral